This 473-nucleotide ribosomal RNA is filed under the name Capitella sp. A ZW-2021. Its description in RNAcentral is "partial large subunit ribosomal RNA". It matches the Rfam family "Bacterial large subunit ribosomal RNA", at positions 1913 to 2620 of the family's 2925-position model. Lineage: Eukaryota; Metazoa; Annelida; Polychaeta; Capitellidae. The record is from RNAcentral.
GUGAGUUGUUUCAACGGCUGCGGUAGCGUGACCGUACUAAGGUAGCAUAAUAACUUGCCUUUUAAUUGGAGGCUGGUAUGAAUGGAUAAACGAGGGUAACGCUGUCUCAAUCUCACAUAUAAAAUUUAGAGUUUAGGUGAAGAUACCUAAAUGUCUUAAAAAGACAAGAAGUCCCCAUAGAGCUUUAGUAGAUUAAUUAAGGGUUUUAAAUUAUAUUGCUUUGGUUGGGGCGACAGAGGGCCAGCUAUAGCGCCCUUUUUCUAUUUUGAGAAAUAGCUCUUUUAGUUGAUCCAUGUGAAGUGAUUAAAAGAAAAAGCUACCUUGGGGUUAACAGGCUAAUCAACUCAAAGAGCUCACAUUGAUGAGUUGGUUUGGCACCUCGAUGUUGGCUCAGGGUUUCCCACAGGUGCAGAAGUUUGUGAUGGUAGGUUUGUUCACCCUUUAAAACCCUACGUGAUCUGAGUCAGACCGGA